AUUGAGUGUGAUCUUGGCUUGGAGUGAAUGCUGGUUUGACAUUUAAUACAUGCAAGUAAAUUGUUAUUAAAUAUUUUAUAACAAUUGCGUAGUGGUGAGUAAAGUUAAUUUAUGUAUAAACAUAUACUGAAAAUUUCUUGUAGAUUAGGAUAGACUGAAAUGUUAGCUUAUUAUCUGUAGUUGAAUUGAGAGAGGGGUCAACCACCUGAGGUAUGCAAAAACCUCGUCUUUGACAGCAGUAAAGAAUUUUUGGCAAUGUGUAAAUGCACGACCGAGUGAUCAAACGAUUUUUUUUUUUUCAUUUAUACUUAUUAUUAAGUUUAUAAACAAUUAAUCUAAAUAUAAUAAUGAUAUUACUUAGAUUAACAAGUCAUGGCUAAUACAUGUGCCAGCAGCCGCGGUAAUACAUGAGUGGCGCGCGUUACUCGCCUUGAUUGGGUGUUUAGGAUGCGUAGACUGAUAUUAAUCAAUAUUUAAACUAAAAUACUUUAGUAAGUAAUAAUAUUGUAAAUAUUCUUUGAGUUUAUUAUAAUUAUUUAACAAGUACUUAUUGCGAUAAAAUGCUUAAAAGUGCGUGUUUAGCAAAUAUAAUCUAUUAUAAUAAUCUGACGUUGAUGCAUGUAGGUAUGAGUUUCGAUUAGGACUUGUGACCCUAGUAGAUCAUACAGUCAAAUAUGGGUAUUAGUUCACGCGUAAAUACCCCACCUGGACAGUAUAGCUGCAAAGUUCAAACUCAACAGAAUUGACGGGGACUUAUACAAACGGUGGAACGUGUGGUUUAAUUUGAUAAUCCACAAAAAAUCUUACCAACACUAUAAUUUUAUAUUAUUAAUAAAAUUUUUAGUAUUGCAUGGCUGUCGUCAGUUCGUGUCUUGUGAUGUAAACUUAAGUGUUAAAACGAACGCAACCCCUAAGUCUGUUUGGUAUUAAUAUUCAGAUGGAGUCUACUAUAGAUGUAGUGGGGUAAAGUCAAGUCAUCAUGGUCUUUAUGUGUUGGGCUACACACGCGUUACAAUGGCAAAAACAAAAUGAAUAAAAGGUAACACUGAAAUAAAUCAUAAAAAAUUGCCGUGUUCAUAAUAUGUACUGAAACUUGAACAUAUUAAGUUGAAAUCGUAAGUAAUCGUAGAUAAGUAUGCUACGGUGAAUUUAAAGUUAAGUCCUGCACACACCGCCCAUCGCACUCGGAGAGUUCUUUGUUAUUGAAAAAUCUAAUUUAUUAUACUUUAAAUAUUAUUGAUGUUUUUUUUAUAUAAAAUUAAUUUGAGACUAUAUUGGGUAAUUUGAGUUAAGUUGACACAAGGUACCAGUAGGGGAACCUGUUGGUU
RNAcentral lists this ribosomal RNA (1328 nucleotides) under Craspedacusta sowerbii. Its description in RNAcentral is "bacterial SSU rRNA". It matches the Rfam family "Bacterial small subunit ribosomal RNA". Lineage: Eukaryota; Metazoa; Cnidaria; Hydrozoa; Limnomedusae; Olindiidae. The record is from RNAcentral.